AGCGAACGUUUGCGGCGGGCUUAACACAUGCAAGUCGAACGGGCUGUUCCUUCGGGGGCAGUCAGUGGCGCACGGGUGCGUAACACGUAGGUAAUCAACCCUCUGGUUGGGGAUAACACUUCGAAAGGAGUGCUAAUACCCCGGUAUGGCGCAGCGGUCUUCGGAUCGCGGCGAGAAAGACCCGCAAGGGUUGCCAGAGGACGAGCCUGCGGCCCAUCAGCUAGUUGGCGAGGUAACGGCUCACCAAGGCGAAGACGGGUAGCUGGUCUGAGAGGAUGAUCAGCCACACUGGAACUGAGACACGGUCCAGACUCCUACGGAGGCAGCAGUGGGGAAUUUUGGACAAGUGGCGCAAGCCUGAUCCAGCCAUGCCGCGUGAGUGAAGAAGG
Molecule: ribosomal RNA, 389 nt
Filed under: uncultured bacterium
Lineage: Bacteria
Description: bacterial SSU rRNA
Rfam family: Bacterial small subunit ribosomal RNA
Source: RNAcentral